Molecule: RNA transcript, 6698 nt
Organism: Haliotis rufescens (red abalone)
Lineage: Eukaryota; Metazoa; Mollusca; Gastropoda; Lepetellida; Haliotidae
Gene name: 6-phosphofructo-2-kinase/fructose-2,6-bisphosphatase 3-like
Exons: 15
Source: RefSeq, a predicted model, not a curated record
GUAAGAAACGUUAUAUGGAAAAUACUAUCAGACUUACGUACACACACAUUGAUUACGUAAUAUGCACGUUCACUCUGAUCAUGUCACACAAAUUGAGCGUUCCGUUGCCAAACAAAGCAUCCUGCCCCCAUGUUGUCCAGGCUCCCACGGUUAUUGCCAUGGUCGGGCUGCCGGCCAGAGGAAAGACAUACAUCUCUAAGAAGCUGACACGCUACCUCAACUGGAUUGGAGUCAGUACAAAAGUGUUCAAUGUGGGAGAGUACCGUCGUGCAGCUACCAACAAGUAUCGCAGCCAUGACUUCUUCCGCCCAGACAACAAGGAGGCACAGGAGAUACGAACGAAGUGUGCUUUACUGGCCAUGGAGGAUGCCUGCCAGUUCCUGGAGAACGGGGGAGAGGUCGGGGUGGUAGAUGCGACCAACACGACCCGCGAGAGGAGGAAGAUGCUUGUUAACAUGUUCACAGUAGAGCAUCAGUUCAAACUGUUCUUUGUGGAGUCCAUCUGCGAUGAUCCUGAAGUGGUGGAGGCCAAUAUAAAGGAAGUGAAGGUUUGCAGCCCGGACUACAAGGGGAUGGACACCAAUGAGGCAGUGAAGGAUUUCAUGCAGCGUAUAGAGCACUACAGCGAGACAUACGAGCCCCUCGACUGGAGCCACGACAGAGACUUGUCCUUCAUACAGAUAUUCAACCAAGGGGAGAGGUUCCUAGUCAACAAAUUAGCAGGUCAUCUACAAAGUAGAGUGGUGUAUUACCUAAUGAAUAUUCACGUUCUUCCUCGGACCAUCUACCUCACAAGGCAUGGGGAAAGCAUGAUGAACCUCGGGGGCCGCAUCGGAGGAGACAGCGAUAUAUCAGAGCGAGGGCAGACCUAUGCAGAAGCUCUGAAACGCUACAUUGAGAAGGAGAACAUUCCCAACCUGAAAGUGUGGACGUCGCAGAUGAAGAGGACGAUCCAGACUGCCAAGUUCAUCGAGGCACCCAAGGAGCACUGGAAGGCCCUCAAUGAGAUAGAUGCGGGUAUCUGUGAGGGGAUGACGUACGAGGAGAUCCAGGAGAAGUACCCCGAGGAUUUUGCUCUGCGGGACCAGGACAAGUUCCACUACCGCUACCCAAGUGGGGAGUCUUACCAAGACCUGGUUGCUCGUCUUGAACCUGUGAUACUGGAGCUGGAGAGACAGGAGAAUGUGUUGGUUGUAUGUCACCAGGCUGUUGCCCGCUGUCUACUUGCGUACUUCCAGGACAAGUCAGCAGAACAUAUCCCUCACGUCCCUGUCCCGUUUGAGAAGGUCGUGAAAAUGAAAAUGAAGGGCCAUUGCUGCGAGUGCGAACACAUACCACUGCUCAGAGGAUCUGCCGUAUUUGAAGGUUCCGCUACAUACCGUGAUAAAGUUAACCCCGGUAGCCUAUGGUUGUAGAGUGGAGCUGAUUUCCCUCAACAUCGAGGCAGUCAACACUCACAGGGAGAAACCCAAGAAUCUGGAGAGGACACGUUCUACAGAUGAAGCUCUGGAGACUGUGCCCUCCCACUUCUAAUGGCAGCUAGCUGAAGAUGAAUGAUUGUCAGGAUGUGCAUGUAUUAGAUGUGUGUGGUGCAGCAACAGCAGGGCCUAGAGGAGGUCAUGUAGCUUGGUAACAGUAGGGUCUGCAGGAUGUGCCAUAGCAGAGUAACAGCGUGGUCUAGAGAAGGUCAUUUAGCACAGCAAUAUCAGGGCCUAGAGGAGGUCAUGUAGCUUGGUAACAGUAGGGUCUGGAGGAUGUCCCACAGCAGAGUAACAGCGUGGUCUAGAGAAGGUCAUUUAGCACAGCAAUAUCAGGGCCUAGAGGAGGUCAUGUAGCUUGGUAACAGUAGGGUCUGGAGGAUGUCCCACAGCAGAGUAACAGCGUGGUCUAGAGAAGGUAAUUUAGCACAGCAAUAUCAGGGCCUAGAGGAGGUCAUGUAGCUUGGUAACAGUAGGGUCUGGAGGAUGUCCCACAGCAGAGUAACAGCAUGGUCUAGAGAAGGUCAUUAGCACAGCAACAGCAGGUCCUAGAGGAGUUCAUGUAGCUUGGUAACAGUAGGGCCUGGAGGAUGUCCCACAGCAGAGUAACAGCAUGGUCUAGAGAAGGUCAUUUAGCACAGCAACAGCAGGGCCUAGAGGAGGUCAUGUAGUAAAGCAACAGCAUGGACUAUAGGUCACGUAGCCAAGCAACAACACCGACUAGAGGUCAUGUACCAUAGCAACAGCAGUGUCUGGAGAGACUUGUUUGAGGAUAGAUCAUCUUUGAAAUAGCAUAGACACAGUAUAACUUUGUUAAAACUUGACAUCUGACUUCUCAACAUGGAAUUUCUUUUGGACAAAGAAACGCCUGAAAGCUGUUACAAAGUUUUGUCAAAUUGAAAUGAUAUCUGUUUUCCAGUCAGUAUGGUGAUAGGUAUUCAACAGUAACACAUUGAUUGCUUGUCUAGAUGAAAAGAGUUACGCAUAAUAUGUGAUGCAGAUAUGUAAUAAAGAAAUGUAUAAUUUUAUGUGCAUCCGGACCUCAUCACAAUGGCAUUAUCGUCAUAUAAUUAAUAAGCAAAUGUCUUAACCAGUCUUGUUGGAUAUAGCAUUUGUGACAUGUACAAUAGUUUGGCAUACAAUAGGUAAUAGGUAAAAGAUUUGUUAUUUUAUGUUACGUUAAUAGGAUUAAAGCAUUUUUCUCUGAUGUUUAUUGAGCUAAUCAUGUUUAAGAUGUUGAGAUAAGUAGUUUUUGUGAUUUGUGUUUGGCAAGUUAUUCCAAAUGAAAUUUGCUCAAUAUUGUCUUUUCUUGAAAAAGUUGCCUUGUCUGAAUUUGUUUGUAAGAGGUUUAAUUCAUUUCAUCAGUGAUGUUUUACAAAUGUUGUGUUCAGUUUGAAAUUUGAACAAAAGUACUUAUCAUGAUACAGUGUUUAGAAUUAGUUGUUGCACAACUUCUCAUGUCACUGGAGCGUAUGCUUCCCGGUCAUGUCGGCUGCUUCUGCUGCAACUUGCUGUACCAGUGUGUAUGUAAUCGAAGAGUGAUUGAUCAAAUCCUGUUUGUUAAACACUAUAUAUUUUGAUGACAAUUUUACCCAGGUGUGAUGUCUGCCAGGUUUUUGUAUAUACAAUAUGGCAGUAUAACCAGAUCCCAGAGAAUAUGUCAAAACGGGCAUUGGUUGUGCUUGUUUACGGGUUUAUGUGACUUGAUGUGGUGUUCCAAUUUUACAUACUGUAAUUGGCUAUAUUAGUGCUCCUUCACUAAUACAUGCUCCAGUUAUUAGUAUUUUUUUUGUACAUGUGCCCUCUCACACCCAUACAUCCACGUGGAACUGUAUUUGUUUCAUCAGGAACAUUUGAUGAUGUGAGCAGUAUUAUGAGGUAAAGCAAAAUGGGAAAAAUAAGAAUGAAACAUUUGUUCACUCAGGGAUUUAUCUAGGUUCUAAACUAAGUGCCAUUUAAGGCAAUUUGGCGAAAAUGUUAUUUUGUUCAAAAUUGAGGCUUUUUUAUAGUUCAUACUUUUUUUAAUUCAGAGUUACUAAUUGUAUUUUGAGAUUGCAUUUAAUGGAAUAUUAAACUAAGCAUCAAUACCCUUUCCUCUUAGAGAUCCUCUUAUCAGUGAGGUGCAGGUUACCUGUUCAAAACCAUCUAAUUAGUUAUUACAUGAAUUGAGAAAUUUAUUGUAACCAUUUGGGAAUUUUUAAUGUCAUCUGGUGCAGACCUGGGGCUGAAGCAAAUGUGCUGCUGGCGACGCGGGGUCUCUGAGCAGGUCCAGAUAAAUAUCUGUCACUGAUCUGGAAGAAACUCAAUAAACAUGUAUUGACUGUCAUCUCAUUAGGCACCCCCAUGGUCACUUACCUUGUUAAAUAACACCCUUUGUGUUGCGUAUGUUGAUUACAGAAAUGUGUUCAUAUAAUGACAGAGUAACUAAAGUCUCUGAAAAACCUGGAUGUUCUUUAACUUCUUUUGAUUUACAUAUAAUGUUUGUAUGUAAUCAGAACUCAUAAUAUUCCAAAUAGUUCGUGACGUAUGUUAAUCACUGGAUUUAGAAUGUACCUGAAAAAUCUUUCACUGACAGGGUAUGACACAGUGCUUGUGUAUGUAGUGUUGUACUCCGCUAGUCAGGGUUGUGUGUUGUCAUCGGCUAGGCAGGGUUGUGCGUUGUAGAAAGGAAGGGUUUUUGAGAAUCCAGUCCACCCAGCAAGUUGUUUCUGGAAGAAGUGCAGCGUGAAUUGGUACUUGUCAUGACUAUAUAGUCAAUGGUGACAUAUUGACGGGCUCCUAUUUCUUAACUACAGAAACAAAUCUCAACCAUCCCUAGACUCCCCUUUGUUUUGGAGACUGCAGAGCUUAAUAGAGGUAAAUCAACAUACAGAGCGUUGUUUUUAUUUUGUUGAGAAGAUGAAACUAUGUAUUGCCAAUUGAUAUACUGCUGAAUAUGACAACCUUUAUGUCACUAUGGAAACAUAAUUCAUUCCACUAAAUGAGCAGGAAACUUGAGCAUAUUUCCCAUUGAACAUUACAAUGCUGUUCUUGUACUCUGACUUCGUCAGAAGAAAAGGCUGAACUAUCAAAUUUUGAAAACAUUUUGGCACAGAAGAAAUUAACAUUGUUAUGAAAUUUUAAAGUUGUUUCAAAUCUUGAAAGAAGCAUGAGGAAGUUUGUUUUGCUCAUCUUUAUCUGUGUGAGGCCAAUGGUUGUCUUCUGGGUCAGUCUGUCAACCUUCAUCUUCUCCUCUCAUUUAGUUGUGCAGCAAUUUUGAAAUCUCAAAGCACUGGUUUUAACAAUCCCAUCAAGAGCAAUGUUUUUAUUGACAGAAGUCCAAUCAGAUUUUAACCAUAUCACAGUCAUUCAUGUAGAGUAAAAUCUUAUAUCUAGCAAUUAUCAUGAUUUUAACUUUUAAGUUUAAGAAGCUGAAAUAUCACCUCAACAACACAUCAUAUAUUGCUGACAGACCAUAGAUCCACCCUAAAGCUAUCAAGAGUCAUUUUUUAAGAUUUAAGUUUGACCUGUUACGCACACUUUCAUUUAUGGAUCUCCAUGUAUAUUUGAUACCCUGCUACUGAGUUACUUAACUGAUUCAUUCCAUAUACAAAUAGUUGGAUAGGACACAAUAUAUUUUAACUUGUUGAAGUAUUUAUUUCAAGUUACUUAUAGUUUAAUUUAUGAAUUUUGCUAUGAAAUAAGGUACUGAGGUUUUGAUACUUUGACGCAUAUUCUGCUGACAUGAAAUUUCCCAAGAUCGGAUAUAUUGGGUUUUUUCUAACCUUUGUUUCUGUAAACCUUGAAUCAUGUUUUGUUUGCUUCAUCACCUUAAGAUGACAGCAUCAGUUGAGGCACAGUGAGUAAGAUGUACUUCUGUGUGGUAUUAGAUGAGGCGUCAACAAAAGAUUUCACAUCUUGGAUGGAUUGAGGCUUCAUCCAUGAAUAUAUCAUAAUUGACUGCAUUCUGAAGAUUAUUUUAUAUUUGUAAAUGGUUCAUCAUAUCAGUCUGUGCAGUAUCAUUCUGUGGGAUAAAGAUGGUAUUUAUUGAUGAAUGAAUUGAUUUGCACAUCUCAGUUUACUGAGGUAAAAUGUACAGUUGGUGGACUAUAGUGUGCGUGACAGCAAGGGUGAUUAAGGAUGUGUCGGAGAACAGAAUGGGUUGUGUGUUGAAUACAGAAUGAAUGGAUCUGAGAACAGAAUGGGUUGUGUGUUGAAUACAGUAUGGAUCUGAGAACAGAAUGGGUUGUGUGUUGAAUACAGAAUGAAUGGAUCUGAGAACAGAAUGGGUUGUGUGUUGAAUACAGUAUGGAUCUGAGAACAGAAUGGGUUGUGUGUUGAAUACAGAAUGAAUGGAUCUGAGAAUGGGUUGUGUGUUGAAUACAGAAUGAAUGGAUCUGAGAAUGGGUUGUGUGUUGAAUACAGAAUGAAUGGAUCUGAGAACAGAAUGGGUUGUGUGUUGAAUACAGUAUGGAUCUGAGAACAGAAUGGGUUGUGUGUUGAAUACAGAAUGAAUGGAUCUGAGAAUGGGUUGUGUGUUGAAUACAGAAUGAAUGGAUCUGAGAAUGGGUUGUGUGUUGAAUACAGAAUGAAUGGAUCUGAGAAUGGGUUGUGUGUUGAAUACAGAAUGAAUGGAUCUGAGAACAGAAUGGGUUGUGUGUUGAAUACAGAAUGAAUGGGUUGUGUGUUGAUGGGUUGGGGUGAUAAGAAUACAGUAAACUACGGUUAUAACGAACACACUUAUAAUGAACUGACGGAUAUAACAAACGGGAGUUUAUUCCCCCGUCCAUUUGCUGUAUAUACGAUGUGUAUAUGAUUAUAACGAACUAUGGUUAUAACAAACUGAAAUUUGUGGUCCCUUUGACUUCGUUAUAACCGUAGUUUACUGUACAUGUAUCUGAGAUAUCUGAGAACAGAAUGAAUAUGUCUGAAAAAUGGAAUGGACUAUACGAGAACAGAAUAAGUUGUGUCUGACAACAGAAAGUCUUUUGUGAUUCUUGUGUGAGGAAGGUUGCUGACCAUGUGCACGGAUUUGUGCUUGAAAUGAGUGCAGUGUCCUCAGAGUGUGUGUGAUUCUACAAAGUCUGAAUUAUUAUUAUUCUUUCAUUUCAGGAUACCUACUGGGAGGUAUAUUGAAAAUUAAUUAUUCAUUGAACUUGUGAUGCUCUUUGUCAAUUUUUAUUUGAAAGUAAAUAAUAAAUAUUGUGGCUUUUUCCAGAAUUAAAGUUAUUUAAGUGAAAA